This 530-nucleotide ribosomal RNA is filed under the name Platycnemis foliacea. RNAcentral's name for it is "partial 16S ribosomal RNA". It matches the Rfam family "Archaeal large subunit ribosomal RNA", at positions 1923 to 2688 of the family's 2987-position model. The record is from RNAcentral. Lineage: Eukaryota; Metazoa; Arthropoda; Insecta; Odonata; Platycnemididae.
GUCCUCUUGUUUAUUUUGGAGGUCUGACCUGCCCAGUGAAAUUUUUAACGGCCGCGGUAUUUUGACCGUGCAAAGGUAGCAUAAUCAUUAGUCUUUUAAUAGGGGGCUGGAAUGAAGGGUUUAACGAAUCAUUAGCUGUCUCAUUUUUAUAACUUAAAACUUAAUUUUUAAGUUAAAAAGCUUAAAUGGUAUUGAAGGACGAGAAGACCCUAUAGAGCUUUAUAUUAUAUUUUUUAAUGAAUUGUUGAUUUAUAUUUAUUUAUUAUAAUAAUUUAAUAUUUUGUUGGGGUGACAGAAAUAAAUAAUUAACUUUUUUAUUCUUUAAACAUAAAUUUAUGAACUUUUGAUCCAUUAUUAUUGAUUGUUAGAUUAAGUUACCUUAGGGAUAACAGCGUAAUCUUUUUUUGGAGUUCAAAUUUACAAAAAGGCUUGCGACCUCGAUGUUGGAUUAAGAUUAUAGUUUGGUGUAGUAGCUAAAUUAAUAGGUCUGUUCGACCUUUAAAUUCUUACAUGAUCUGAGUUCAGACCGG